UGGACGAGAGCCUGAACCAGCCAAGUCGCGUGAGGGAAGACGGUCCUAUGGAUUGUAAACCUCUUUUGCCGGGGAGCAAAGAGCGGCACGUGUGCCGCGCCGAGAGUACCCGGAGAAAAAGCAUCGGCUAACUCCGUGCC
This 140-nucleotide ribosomal RNA is filed under the name uncultured bacterium. RNAcentral's name for it is "partial 16S ribosomal RNA". It matches the Rfam family "Bacterial small subunit ribosomal RNA", at positions 372 to 509 of the family's 1533-position model. The record is from RNAcentral.